Molecule: non-coding RNA, 232 nt
Organism: Chlorocebus sabaeus (green monkey)
Lineage: Eukaryota; Metazoa; Chordata; Mammalia; Primates; Cercopithecidae
Source: RefSeq, a predicted model, not a curated record
AUGCCAUGGUUUUUGACAAUUGCUUUAUAGCAAGAUCCUUUCGGCCUAUCAGACCCUUUAACUCUUUUCUCACUAUACAGGCUUGUAGCUGUAACUGUCCUCUUGCUGCUUGAUCACUCUGUUACCUUUCUGGAAUCCCCCCUGAGGAUUGUCUGUCCCAUUUCUGCAUCAAAAGCCUGAAGGUUUUGUUUCCUGGGUCUCUCAAGGUUACAGAGAAAAAUGGCCCCCAGGU